UUCCGCUUCGGUGUCCACCAAACACUUCAACAAAGGCGUCACAUAACCCCUUCGGUAUAGAUCAUCCCCCACCAGGCAAUAUCGAGCUACUUGCUUAGCAUCUUCCGCACUAAGGGUUGCUCCUUCAUCUUGCUUCCGGAUCAGCUAGAUGAUUCCUGCUCUCCAAUCCUUCUGCACCCCAGACACAGUCACGUUGAAGCAUUCGACCGUUGGUUUUGUUAAGACUUGCCUUAUCACUGUAGAUAGCCC
RNAcentral lists this long non-coding RNA (249 nucleotides) under Vigna radiata. RNAcentral describes it as "long non-coding RNA (VRAD_LNC016823)". Lineage: Eukaryota; Viridiplantae; Streptophyta; Magnoliopsida; Fabales; Fabaceae. The record is from RNAcentral.